RNAcentral lists this ribosomal RNA (478 nucleotides) under uncultured bacterium. RNAcentral describes it as "partial 16S ribosomal RNA". It matches the Rfam family "Bacterial small subunit ribosomal RNA", at positions 28 to 507 of the family's 1533-position model. The record is from RNAcentral.
GAUGAACGCUGGCGGCGUGCUUAACACAUGCAAGUCGAACGGGAAUUAUUUUCUUUAAACUUCGGUCGAUUUAAUUUAAUUCUAGUGGCGAACGGGUUAGUCACGCGUUGGUAACCUGCCUUCUACAGGGGGAUAACACUCAUAAAUGGCUGCUACUCCCGCUUAAUCGCGGAGAGCUGCAUGUCUCGGUGGGUAAAACUCCGGUGGGAUAAUAUGGACCCGCGUUGGAUUAGCUGGUUGGUGGGGUAACGGCCAACCAAGGCGACGAUGCAUAGCCGGGAGGAGAGGGGGAACGGCUACAUUGGGAAUGAGACACGGACCAGACUCCGACGCGAGGGAGGAGUGGAUAACAUUGCACAAUGGGGGAAAACCUGAUGCAGCGACGCCGCGUGAAGGAAGAAGUAGCUCGGUAUGUAAACUUCUAUCAGCAGGGAAGAGAGUGACGGUACCUGACUAAGAAGCCCCGGCUAACUACGUG